AGAGUUUGAUCAUGGCUCAGAUUGAACGCUGGCGGCAGGCCUAACACAUGCAAGUCGAACGGUAACAGGAAACAGCUUGCUGUUUCGCUGACGAGUGGCGGACGGGUGAGUAAUGUCUGGGAAACUGCCUGAUGGAGGGGGAUAACUACUGGAAACGGUAGCUAAUACCGCAUAACGUCGCAAGACCAAAGAGGGGGACCCUCGGGCCUCUUGCCAUCGGAUGUGCCCAGAUGGGAUUAGCUUGUUGGUGGGGUAACGGCUCACCAAGGCGACGAUCCCUAGCUGGUCUGAGAGGAUGACCAGCCACACUGGAACUGAGACACGGUCCAGACUCCUACGGGAGGCAGCAGUGGGGAAUAUUGCACAAUGGGCGCAAGCCUGAUGCAGCCAUGCCGCGUGUAUGAAGAAGGCCUUCGGGUUGUAAAGUACUUUCAGCGGGGAGGAAGGGAGUAAAGUUAAUACCUUUGCUCAUUGACGUUACCCGCAGAAGAAGCACCGGCUAACUCCGUGCCAGCAGCCGCGGUAAUACGGAGGGUGCAAGCGUUAAUCGGAAUUACUGGGCGUAAAGCGCACGCAGGCGGUUUGUUAAGUCAGAUGUGAAAUCCCCGGGCUCAACCUGGGAACUGCAUCUGAUACUGGCAAGCUUGAGUCUCGUAGAGGGGGGUAGAAUUCCAGGUGUAGCGGUGAAAUGCGUAGAGAUCUGGAGGAAUACCGGUGGCGAAGGCGGCCCCCUGGACGAAGACUGACGCUCAGGUGCGAAAGCGUGGGGAGCAAACAGGAUUAGAUACCCUGGUAGUCCACGCCGUAAACGAUGUCGACUUGGAGGUGUGCCCUUGAGGCGUGGCUUCCGGAGCUAACGCGUUAAGUCGACCGCCUGGGGAGUACGGCCGCAAGGUUAAAACUCAAAUGAAUUGACGGGGGCCCGCACAAGCGGUGGAGCAUGUGGUUUAAUUCGAUGCAACGCGAAGAACCUUACCUGGUCUUGACAUCCACGGAAGUUUUCAGAGAUGAGAAUGUGCCUUCGGGAACCGUGAGACAGGUGCUGCAUGGCUGUCGUCAGCUCGUGUUGUGAAAUGUUGGGUUAAGUCCCGCAACGAGCGCAACCCUUAUCCUUUGUUGCCAGCGGUCCGGCCGGGAACUCAAAGGAGACUGCCAGUGAUAAACUGGAGGAAGGUGGGGAUGACGUCAAGUCAUCAUGGCCCUUACGACCAGGGCUACACACGUGCUACAAUGGCGCAUACAAAGAGAAGCGACCUCGCGAGAGCAAGCGGACCUCAUAAAGUGCGUCGUAGUCCGGAUUGGAGUCUGCAACUCGACUCCAUGAAGUCGGAAUCGCUAGUAAUCGUGGAUCAGAAUGCCACGGUGAAUACGUUCCCGGGCCUUGUACACACCGCCCGUCACACCAUGGAAGUGGGUUGCAAAAGAAGUAGGUAGCUUAACCUUCGGGAGGGCGCUUACCACUUUGUGAUUCAUGACUGGGGUGAAGUCGUAACAAGGUAACCGUAGGGGAACCUGCGGUUG
This 1521-nucleotide ribosomal RNA is filed under the name metagenome. Its description in RNAcentral is "bacterial SSU rRNA". It matches the Rfam family "Bacterial small subunit ribosomal RNA". The record is from RNAcentral.